GGGGUUGUGGCUCAGUGGUAGAGCACUCGCCUAGCAUGUGUGAGGCCCUGGGUUCUAUCCUCAGCACCACA
This 71-nucleotide transfer RNA is filed under the name Marmota monax (woodchuck). RNAcentral describes it as "tRNA.Ala". It matches the Rfam family "tRNA". Rfam says of the family: Transfer RNA (tRNA) molecules are approximately 80 nucleotides in length. Their secondary structure includes four short double-helical elements and three loops (D, anti-codon, and T loops). Further hydrogen bonds mediate the characteristic L-shaped molecular structure. tRNAs have two regions of fundamental functional importance: the anti-codon, which is responsible for specific mRNA codon recognition, and the 3' end, to which the tRNAs corresponding amino acid is attached (by aminoacyl-tRNA synthetases). tRNAs cope with the degeneracy of the genetic code in two manners: having more than one tRNA (with a specific anti-codon) for a particular amino acid; and 'wobble' base-pairing, i.e. permitting non-standard base-pairing at the 3rd anti-codon position. The record is from RNAcentral. Lineage: Eukaryota; Metazoa; Chordata; Mammalia; Rodentia; Sciuridae.